UUUUUUUUUUUUUUUUUGAAAAGGAAUCCUAUUUGCGGGGACACGACAGAGCUCUAGGAACUGGGCAGGUGGGAGAGGGCUCAGGCCCAGGGUGUUCAUUCACUGCAUUCUCUUUGGUCCUUCUCAGGAGGAGCCAUGCAGAAGGGGAAUCUGGGUCUGCAGGUGUCAUGUGAUUUGUUUUCCUGCUCGGACCAUAUUUGAUUCUUCUUUCUGGGGGAUCUGUACAGAAAAACAACAAAGAGAACACUUCAAGGAAACUGCAAGACUGUCAUGUUGCAGUGACAAUUGCAGUGUAAUAGGAAAUCAUUUAUGUAAGUUACGGUGCCCUCUGAAUGGAGCUUGUCAAAAAUGUGGCUACAGCUUCUCAAGGCCUAUUUUUUUUCCUCUCCUGCAAAAUAAUCCUGAGGUUUUCAUUUUCAGAGCAAUUGAAGAAGUAUUAUGUGCCGGGCAGGGAAUAGGGAGACCCAGCUUCUAAUCCUAGGCCUGCUGACUCUCUUCCAGCGAGUUCCCUCUCUGGGCUAGGCCUCAAUUUCUCUUCCUUUAUAGCUAGAGUAAGCCCUUGCUGUUCCCGAGCUGAAGCUCAGGAGGCGAAGAUGAAGGUGGCCAUCCGUAUUAAAGGACCAGGUGAGCAGCAGAAGAUUGUAUUCGCAUGCAAGGUCAGAGAAAAUCAGGAAGGAGAGAGAAUGAAGUCUAAGCUCUGGCCUCUCACCAUUACACUCGAACCAGCUCCUGUGAGCUUGCUGAGCUGAGCUGAUGAAAGCAACCUGCAGAGUCUGAAAGGAGGAUGUACAUGCAAAAGCAGGAGACCAGGGGAGGGGAUGGUUACUGCAGGAGUGCAGAGGCCCAGGAAGGAGGGGACACCUCAUUCUAGUAGUAGUAGUUUAGGUCAGGACUAUGCAGAAAGAAAAGGGGUUGUGAUUUCUCUUGAUGUCCACCUUUCACUUUGCUUUAUUUGUAUAUAUUUACGUGUUUUAGUUGGAGAGGUAGAUGUGAUGUUAAGUAAUGUUUACCCAACAAGUCGAUUGAUCAGGCAGGCAGUUCAGUCAAUAUUUACUGAAUGCCUACUAUGUGCUAUGACUGUGCAAGAGCUUGGUUGUAUGGAAGCAAAAUGGUUUCCGUCGUUGGGGAGCUCACAGCUUGGUGUGGUCACAGCGCCCUUGUCUGUCUAUUAAACCCAACAUACAAGGGAGAUCUGUGUACACAGACGGCAUCCUGAAAAUAUGCAAGAUUUUCAUAUAACUGGGUGCACUGGGUGCACCAUCCAGUUAUCAAAGGCAGGACAUGGAGAAGGUGUCCUGGAGAAGGACAAGGGGUGCGUGGCAUUGGCCGCGUGAACCUAUGAGGAAGAGGUACCAGGUACAGGAAGUAGCAUCGUCAAGGCAUGGGGGUGAACUCACACGGCACUAUCCCCCUGCAGUAGUGCAAGGCAGGGGUGGGAGGUGGGGCACGAUGCAAACAUGGGUGCAGCCUGGACCAGCACCAGUGUCCUGUAGGCAGUGGCAAGGCCUUAGGGAUUCUCAGGUAAGAGAAGCAAGGUUUUCCUGGUAGAAAAAUCACUGUGGGGGCAGCAAAGAGAAAGAAUUGGAGGUGGAAGUGUGAGAGUAGUUAUGGGGGCACAAGGGAGGGCUGAUCAAAGGCAGUGGCAGAGGGGAGAAAUGGACGAAUCCGAGAGGCACAUAGGAGUUUGAAUUGACAGAUGGGGUAUGGCAGUGAGGCAGUAGGGAGCAAGCAGAGGGGGCUAUGGGAGGCCUCGUAGGUGGGAGGUGACACCAUUUCCAGACCCACACUUGGUUGAGGGGAAGUGGUGAGGAAGGAGGAUGUGUUGUUUUCUGGACAUGGUGGAUUGAGAUGCAUAUGGGACUUUGGGUAGAAUCGAGAAGGAGGCCAGCAGACAUAGGACCCUUGUUCCCUGGCAGCUUCAUCUCAGUGCCCCCAUGUAGGGUGCUACUCACCCCAGUUUUAUACUUGCUUUACUUGGGGAUCUGCUGGAAGCUUGGUAAGGAAGCAAGAAGACACAUAUAUAUGGAUUUUUGCAUUUUCCAAGUGGUUCAUGGUUCAAAUUAAACAUACUCUCUGGCACUUUUUGCAUGAGAUUGUUCUGAAAACCCCCAGGUCCUCACUUUGCCAUGGGAGAUCUCCACUCGUUUCCAGUGGGAAAACAGUCGUACCUGGAGGCUGAGUCCUACACAAAAUAUUACCAAGCAAGCUCAGGAUAAAGGCAGAAUUUGGGUGACGGAGAAUGACUAGGCCUUUGUGCUGGGCAACACUGGUUCCCUUUCUUGGGGUGUGCACCUCAUUUUUAAUGUGUACACACUCAAAACAGCAGGAGCUGCUACAAUGAGCUCCACCAGGAGCAGAGAUGGCAAAGAAAAUUUUGACCUACUGUCAAAUAAAUAAAAUCUUAAAAAAUAAAAGAAAAUGCUGACCUUGCCCUUCAGAAAUCAUGUCUUGUUUGUCUGCACAUCGGAGCGGUCUGUACGGGUCCGGCCCACAGGUGGAUAGGUUUUGCUUGGCCCGAAGAAUGUACAGUUGGUUCACUUGGUUCAUGAGAAGCAGUGCUGUUAUUCGGAUGCUGUUAGGUGUGGCGGCCCCUCUCUGGGGAGCCGCAGAUUCCACUCCCGGUCGUCACACCUUUGCCUCACACGUUUGUGGUGAAGGUACUUGAAUUAAAAUACCAGCAGCCUAGGACCUAGUGGCUACUCCAGCGGUGAUGCUGGCCCCUCCCUCCGUCCCCUCCCUCAUGGAGAAAAUGAGCUGAGGUAUCAGCGUGGAGCACUUUGCAUUCUACGGGGAAGCUCUGUGAUUCUGGAGCCUUACUCAUCACAGCAGAUGCAGAAGGGGCUGGUGGUGAACACGUUAAUCUCUCGGUGCUCUAUCAGCAUGUUUGUACUAUGGAAUCUUUAGAACACAGGCCAUUUAGUUUGAGCAGAGUGUGGAGAGAAAAUACGCAACUCCUUCAAGCCUACCCAGACCCUUUCAACCCCCUGCCUCUGCCCCGGCUCCUCUGUGCUGCUGUGGAAGGCCUCCAGGCUUGUGGGGAAGGGGAAGUAGUGGUCCCCGGACGGGAUGCGGUGUCCAAGUAGCAUGGACACAGUUUCCACUGGGCCUGCAAAAUAGGAACUCGGAGCUUCCAGCCCCAAAGAGUGUCUUCAACUGCAAAUUGGCAGCUCGGUUUCAAGUGAAACAGUGCAUCUCCUCUCUUCUCCGGAUGGCUCCUUGGUGUCUCAGAGCUGCUAAUAAAAGUGGCUGGUGGACUCUGAUACGGAAUGGGAACGGGACCCGGGUAGGUAGUUUGAGCUCUAACCUUCCGAGGGCCCCACAGAGAGCACGGGCUUUCUGCGCUUCCCUCCUCCUGCCCCGGCGGCCAGCCAUCCUGCAUUUUGUUGGCCCCACUCAGUACAGAAUAGAUUCACAGAGCUGCACUUUCUGUCUCGGGGAACUCGGCAGUUUCCCCCAGUUUAUCUGGUGGCAACUUAUUUCCCUAGUAGGGGGCAGAGAGCUGGGCCUGGAGUCCUAAGAAGGGAAAUGAUCUAACCACAUUGAUCUGUGGUUGGGACCAAAAUAAAGUUGUUGACACCACUCUGGGCUGUGCUUGUGGACGGUGGCCUAUGCCAGUGGAGGAGGGGGCCGUGUUCAGGAAUGGGGAGCCGAGUCCUCUCAAAGGCUGCCCCAGAGCCUGAGAGACAAAGGUAGGGGACCCCCACUGCUUCUCCUUUUGGAUUUUGCUGUAGAGACUUCCCAAGGGCCUACUGGUUAUCAGAUGUCCUCCAAGCGGCUUGCUCAGAGGAGAAGAUCUAAGACAGGUGCAGACACUCGAGGUGCUGACAGAGUGCAUAGUGUCAAAUUGGCUGUUGACAGCCCAGGGCUGGGUGGUGGGGGAGGUGGGAGAGAGCAAGCCUUGCCAAACCCAGGACUAACUUCAUGAAGAAGUGGCUGCAACUCAAUCUCAUCUUCAUUCCUUCCUCCCUGAGUUGAUGCCAGCAAGACCGAAUGCUUCCUGGCAAAUACUCUAUAAGUAAACAAAUCAAACAUUCUGGAAAGCCUGUCUUUAUGCAUGGUUGCCAUUAUUGAGUGAAAUGGUAUGUUCUUUGCCUAUAGGAUCUGGAUGCCAUAGAAGCCCUCAUGCUUUACUUUGGUGAUGGCCAUGUUCCGAUUGUUCAAGAGAGCUCACGUUAAAAGCUUUAGGGACAUCACAUGGCCAAAUAGAGAAACUAACUUCCUAAACUGUCAGACCACAUUUCGUCAGCAUGUAUUGUUUUGAAAGAAUGGCAUAUUCAUUCCAAAAUUUAUAUUAGCAAAUUUAAAAAAAGUCUGUAGGCCCAGAAGAGGUUUAACCAGCUGACAAAUUUUUCAAGUAGCCUUGUUCGCAUUCCACAUGUUAGCUAGGUCUAAGUAUUUUUGUGUCAAGACAGCAGUAUACCUAGAAACUGCAAAUUCAAGCUGCCGAGAACUAAUUUGUAACAUAUGAUCUAUUGACUCGUGUUUUUAGCAUUUUUAUCUCGUAUUCUCACUUCAUCGCAAGCUUUGAAGGCAAAGACACACAUACAGUUAAGGCACACGUGUUUUAAACAUACGUGCAGUUCCCUUUGGACCCAAUAUUAGGGUGGUUGGAUUGUCUUCUCUAGAUCCCCACCUUAAAUUUGGUUUUCUGAGCUUAAAAACAAGCGUGCUUGAAUGGUCAGGCAGCAGCGGGGAUCACACGUACCGAGACCACGACAAAUCCACCGGAAUCAGGAAGUAGCAUUAAGGGGAAAGUCUGCACGCACUGAUGGCUGUGUGCUGAUGUUGAGUCUUUUAUUUAAUUGUCAUUGCCCUACGAUUGCGAACGAGCAGCUACUGAGUUGGAGUCUCGACCACAGACUUAGCAUAUCGAUGGGAGGCACGGAGAAACAGCUCUUACUUCCUCUCCAAAAUGCAAACUUGGCUGAGUUCUUGUCUUUGGCCAGAAGGUUCUGAGGUUUCACAAAGGUGAAAAAAUACAAAUGAUAACAUCAAAGUGCAAUUCGAGGAGAUUUUUAUCGAGGAGCACAAAUGGCUGCCCCUCUUGCCUGUAAGAAAAUCUUACAGUUCAGGCUUUUAUCAAUCCUCCUUCUGCCUCUUUUCUCUGAGCCACACAUGUGGGCUUUGCUGGCAAGGUGGACCUCUUUGCAGGGGGUGGGAACACCCUGGCUUUGGGAACAAUGAUGGAGGGCUUUCUCUCUUACUUUCCAUGUGGACUUCGAGUUCAUUGCUGCUCAUGGCACAGUUAGGCCUGAGUCCACAUCCAACUUUGGAGAAAGUCAGAGUCUGCAGGAGGUGGGAGCAGCAAAGCCCAGGAUGGGUUCCUAUGUGCAUCUGGGUUGUUGGGCACAGGUGCCCUGAAGCACUCAGGCCAGCCCCAUCCCACCGCUGGUUCGUAACCAUUGGGUCUCUAAACUCCUUCCAUGCUCAUUUUGUGUAUAUUUUGCAUGAGCUUCUGCCAUUUGGAACUUUAUUAAUUAAUACUUUUUUGAAACUUAAGUUUUGAACAUGUUCUUACCAUGGUAAAUUUCAUUCUGGGGUCCAGUUUGGAUCCUGUUCUAGUCGCUAGGAUAGUUUUGAACUAUCAUCAGUGGAUAAAGACUUACAAUAACAUGACUUCUCUCAUAGUAUCUCAUCUGACCUUCACAAGUCCUGGAACUUGUCAUCCACUAAUUUGAGAAGUGUGACUCUCAUUCUUUAUUCAAAUUACUGAUAAAAAUUUGAAACAGCAUAGCACCAAGGACAGAACCCUUUAGCCUGGCAUUUCCUGGAGAGCUUCCCUUGUAGGUUUGACGGGAAAAAAAAAAAAA
RNAcentral lists this long non-coding RNA (5810 nucleotides) under Canis lupus familiaris (dog). RNAcentral describes it as "lncRNA (ENSCAFG00000055066.1)". The record is from RNAcentral. Lineage: Eukaryota; Metazoa; Chordata; Mammalia; Carnivora; Canidae.